Molecule: ribosomal RNA, 353 nt
Filed under: uncultured soil bacterium
Lineage: Bacteria
Description: bacterial SSU rRNA
Rfam family: Bacterial small subunit ribosomal RNA
Source: RNAcentral
CAGCCGCGGUAAUACGUAGGGUGCGAGCGUUGCCCGGAUUUAUUGGGCGUAAAGGGCGCGUAGGCGGCUCGAUGCGUCCGUUGUGAAAUCGCCCGGCUCAACUGGGCGGGGUCAGCGGAUACGGUCGAGCUUGAGCAAGCUAGGGGGCAAUGGAAUUCCCGGUGUAGUGGUGGAAUGCGUAGAUAUCGGGAGGAACACCAGUGGCGAAGGCGGUUGCCUGGGGCUUUGCUGACGCUGAGGCGCGAAAGCGUGGGGAGCGAUCCGGAUUAGAUACCCGGGUAGUCCACGCCGUAAACGAUGCGGACUAGGUGUCGGGGGUAUCGACCCCCUCGGCGCCGCAGCUAACGCAUUAA